RNAcentral lists this ribosomal RNA (57 nucleotides) under Trichoderma longibrachiatum. RNAcentral describes it as "partial 18S ribosomal RNA". The record is from RNAcentral. Lineage: Eukaryota; Fungi; Ascomycota; Sordariomycetes; Hypocreales; Hypocreaceae.
AGACUCGACUAACUCCCAACCCCAGUGUGAACGUUACCAAUCUGUUGCCUCGGCGGG